CAGUAGCCGCGGUAAUACAGAGGGUGCGAGCGUUAAUCGGAUUUACUGGGCGUAAAGCGUGCGCAGGCGGUUAUAUAAGACAGAUGUGAAAUCCACGGGCUCAACCUGGGAACUGCAUUUGUGACUGUAUAGCUAGAGUACGGCAGAGGGGGAUGGAAUUCCGCGUGUAGCAGUGAAAUGCGUAGAUAUGCGGAGGAACACCGAUGGCGAAGGCAAUCCCCUGGGCCUGUACUGACGCUCAUGCACGAAAGCGUGGGGAGCAAACAGGAUUAGAUACCCCUGUAGUCCCUGUCUCUUAUAU
RNAcentral lists this ribosomal RNA (301 nucleotides) under uncultured bacterium. RNAcentral's name for it is "partial 16S ribosomal RNA". It matches the Rfam family "Bacterial small subunit ribosomal RNA", at positions 509 to 809 of the family's 1533-position model. The record is from RNAcentral.